This 392-nucleotide ribosomal RNA is filed under the name uncultured bacterium. Its description in RNAcentral is "partial 16S ribosomal RNA". It matches the Rfam family "Bacterial small subunit ribosomal RNA", at positions 523 to 918 of the family's 1533-position model. The record is from RNAcentral.
AUACGGAGGAUCCGAGCAUUAUCCGGAUUUAUUGGGUUUAAAGGGUGCGCAGGCGGCCAUUUAAGUCAGCGGUUAAAUCGUGGGGCUCAACCCCAUUCUGCCGUUGAUACUGGGUGGCUUGAUUGCGGUCGAGGUUGGCGGAAUUCGUUGUGUAGCGGUGAAAUGCAUAGAUAUGACGAAGAACACCGAUUGCGUAGGCAGCUGACCAGACCGCAAAUGACGCUCAUGCACGAAAGUGCGGGGAUCGAACAGGAUUAGAUACCCUGGUAGUCCGCACAGUAAACGAUGAAUGCUUGUUUUCGGCGAUAUAAUGUCGGAGGCAAAGCGAAAGCGAUAAGUAUUCCACCUGGGGAGUACGCCGGCAACGGUGAAACUCAAAUGAAUUGGCGGGG